UGGAACAAAUGGAGCUUAACUAAAAUCUGGCCUGUUCCUCCUCCUCAUAAGCCUUCACCAGUUUUUAAAAAUGACAGUCGAUCAAUUAAUCAAAUUCAAGCAAGAGGUUUUUAUUUAAUAGGUAAAGAUAAAAACUCAAUCUUUAGGUAGUCUCUAAUCUAGCUGGUGAAUGACUAAGUCAUAGUUUCAGGCAGCCUUACUGUGGAAUUUAUUUAUGAGAACAUUCUGGUCUUUAGGGUGAAUAUUUUUAUCCGUUUUUGUUUUGGUGGAUGACAGUUCCUUUGAGGUUUCUGUCGACAGAAGGUGUAUAUUUGUGUGGAAAGAGAGGA
This 329-nucleotide long non-coding RNA is filed under the name Bos taurus (domestic cattle). RNAcentral's name for it is "long non-coding RNA NONBTAT005552". Lineage: Eukaryota; Metazoa; Chordata; Mammalia; Artiodactyla; Bovidae. The record is from RNAcentral.